Molecule: ribosomal RNA, 501 nt
Filed under: Triticum aestivum (bread wheat)
Lineage: Eukaryota; Viridiplantae; Streptophyta; Magnoliopsida; Poales; Poaceae
Description: partial small subunit ribosomal RNA
Source: RNAcentral
AUGUGUGUCCCAAAAGACCAAGGCGGAAUGGGAUUCCGAGAUAUACAUUGUUUCAAUUUGGCUUUGCUAGCCAAGCAAGUGUGGCGUUUGCUUGAUAAUCCAGAAUCUUUAUGUGCCACAAUCUUGAGAGAUAAAUAUUUCCCGAAUAGCGAUUUGAUGAAUGCAAAUCUAAAGAAGGGUUUUUCUUUUACCUGGCAAAGCAUUAUGGCGGGGAUUAAUUCUCUAAGGAAUGGUUAUAUCUGGCGAGUUGGAAAUGGACAAAAUAUUGAUAUCUGGGAAGAUGCUUGGAUCCCGAAUUGUGCAAAUAGGAAAAUAAUUACUCCUAGAGGGGGGCAACUUCUGUCAAAGGUAUCUGACCUUAUUGAUCCAAUCACGAGUUAUUGGGAUGAAGACUUGGUGAGACAAACUUUAUGGCCAAUUGACACUAAAAGGGUGCUCGUGAUUCCCCUUCCGAUGCAUGACAUGAGCGACUUCAUUGCUUGGAGCUACACAAAAAAUGGU